CUUACAGAGUUCUUUGGCAUUCUGUCCACCUCCUCGAUCUCCUUUUAGAUAGAAAAAAAAGAUUAAUUAGAGAAAAAAAUAUUUUCUUCGUUUUAAUUUAUGUGACGUAGUUUGAAACGAUGAGAUAAAGUGUAAAAUUAUGGAGGUGGGCAUACUGCCAACAGAUUUCUGUUGG
This 175-nucleotide microRNA precursor is filed under the name Nicotiana attenuata. RNAcentral's name for it is "MIR394 microRNA precursor family". It matches the Rfam family "MIR394 microRNA precursor family". Lineage: Eukaryota; Viridiplantae; Streptophyta; Magnoliopsida; Solanales; Solanaceae. The record is from Rfam by way of RNAcentral.